CGCCUGGGGAGUGCGGCCGCAAGGCUAAAACUCAAAGGAAUUGACGGGGGCCCGCACAAGCGGCGGAGCAUGCGGAUUAAUUCGAUGCAACGCGAAGAACCUUACCAAGGCUUGACAUACACCGGACCGGGCCAGAGAUGGUCUUUCCCCCUUGUGGGGCUGGUGUACAGGUGGUGCAUGGUUGUCGUCAGCUCGUGUCGUGAGAUGUUGGGUUAAGUCCCGCAACGAGCGCAACCCUCGUUCUAUGUUGCCAGCACGUGAUGGUGGGGACUCAUAGGAGACUGCCGGGGUCAACUCGGAGGAAGGUGGGGAUGACGUCAAAUCAUCAUGCCCCUUAUGUCUUGGGCUUCACGCAUGCUACAAUGGCCAGUACAAUGGGUUGCGAUGCCGCGAGGUGGAGCUAAUCCCAAAAAGCUGGUCUCAGUUCGGAUCGUGGUCUGCAACUCGACCACGUGAAGUCGGAGUCGCUAGUAAUCGCAGAUCAGCAACGCUGCGGUGAAUACGUUCCCAGGCCUUGUACACACCGCCCGUCAAGUCACGAAAGUUGGUAACACCCGAAGCCGGUGGCCUAACCCUUGUGGGGGGAGCCGUCGAAGGUGGGACUGGCGAUUGGGACUAAGUCGUAACAAGGUAACCGUA
RNAcentral lists this ribosomal RNA (639 nucleotides) under uncultured Kocuria sp. RNAcentral describes it as "bacterial SSU rRNA". It matches the Rfam family "Bacterial small subunit ribosomal RNA", at positions 870 to 1504 of the family's 1533-position model. The record is from RNAcentral. Lineage: Bacteria; Bacillati; Actinomycetota; Actinomycetes; Micrococcales; Micrococcaceae.